UACAGAGGGGGCAAGCGUUGUUCGGAAUUACUGGGCGUAAAGGGCGCGUAGGUGGCGCUGUAAGUCGGGUGUGAAAUUUCGGAGCUUAACUCCGAAACUGCAUUCGAUACUGCGGUGCUCGAGGACUGGAGAGGAGACUGGAAUUCAUGGUGUAGCAGUGAAAUGCGUAGAGAUCAUGAGGAAGACCAGUGGCGAAGGCGGGUCUCUGGACAGUUCCUGACACUGAGGCACGAAGGCCAGGGGAGCAAACGGG
Molecule: ribosomal RNA, 253 nt
Filed under: uncultured bacterium
Lineage: Bacteria
Description: partial 16S ribosomal RNA
Rfam family: Bacterial small subunit ribosomal RNA
Source: RNAcentral